This 462-nucleotide long non-coding RNA is filed under the name Salvator merianae (Argentine black and white tegu). RNAcentral's name for it is "lncRNA (ENSSMRG00000023668.1)". Lineage: Eukaryota; Metazoa; Chordata; Lepidosauria; Squamata; Teiidae. The record is from RNAcentral.
CGGGAUUGAAAAGGACUGGGCUCUGUCACCUGAAUGAGACGCCCGCCUCUCCCGACCCGUAUUUAAUAGCAACAACAACAACACAGCCACGUGGUCUAAAAAUAAUGUAAUACAUUUUCAUCCCGUGCCGUAACGGGACAUUACGUGUGUAUUGCACAUGCGUGUCGGGAGGAAGGAGCACACGGUCCAGUUUCCCCCCCCUCUGUCUUAGGGGUAAGAAGGAUCUUUCUUCUACUUUCUUUGCUUUCGAGAGACUUAAGUGACCGCGCACCGCAGCCUAGUUUGGGGGCUACUCAGGGGUUAAAAUCAAAGCGAAGGGCCCUGUAUACUUGGAACUGUCGCGCUCAGAGUCAAAGUGGGAAAAGAGCCUUGGGCAGAAGGAAAUUACAGCGGGCUUGCGUGACCUUUCCGAGAGUGACCCGGGUCUCCUCGGUCAAGACGUCCUUUCCNGACAUUCUUUAG